GCUCAGCCGCAGGGGAGCCAGAGGCGCCGGGCGGCCGGAGGUCCCAGCCCCGCAGAGCCCCGCGCCGGCUGGCGGGUCUCGCCCCAAACAUCCAGCAGGAGGAAGCCGAGGGCGGCAGUGUACUGAAGGGGGGCCCUGUCUUGCCCCAAGAACAUGCUGAAGAGCAAAGAGCUCACUAAAGAAGUUCAGCAAUUUGUUUUUAAAGUAUGAUUUUGGAAGAAAUUCCAGCAAAAUCAGCAAACAUCUCAAGACACAGCGGGUCUCCAUUCCCCUCUCCAGGGACAUCACCACCAAAUCCCAGGGCUAAUAAGGAGAGAGGUUGCCAGCCGCCACAGAGAUGCCGAGGAUUUCAACUCCGAGUUCGGCUGAGACUGAAACCCUUAUAUGGCAAACUCCGGGAAAGUGCUAUUAUGUUGUAUGCUGGAUACUGUCAUUUGAGCACUAUGAAUUACUUUUUGAAGCAUGGCCCAUUCAUCAGUUUUGUAAUGCACAUUGUUAGUUCAAAGACCCUGCUUUCAAGUCAUUUUUGCUCCCAGCGCCCCCGCUGAAACAUCUGACCGCCAUCUCUAGAUAUUUCACUAACUCUUUGCUCAUCGUGUUGAAGGGAAAAUAUUUGCCAUGUAUUUUAAUUCCUCCCUCUUAUAAUGUAUGAGACUCACC
Caretta caretta (loggerhead turtle) is the source of this 660-nucleotide long non-coding RNA. RefSeq lists it as uncharacterized. The record is from RefSeq and is a predicted model, not a curated record. NCBI's taxonomy places the organism in Eukaryota, Metazoa, Chordata, Testudines, Cheloniidae.